GCCUGUGUGGCGCAGUGGUAGCGCUUUCCACUCGUACGCCGGUUUUUACCGCAAAAUAUCGACGAAUGGAAGGGUCCCGUGUUCAAUCCGCGGCGGAGGCA
RNAcentral lists this transfer RNA (101 nucleotides) under Kwoniella mangroviensis CBS 8507. RNAcentral describes it as "tRNA-Thr". It matches the Rfam family "tRNA". From Rfam's summary of the family: Transfer RNA (tRNA) molecules are approximately 80 nucleotides in length. Their secondary structure includes four short double-helical elements and three loops (D, anti-codon, and T loops). Further hydrogen bonds mediate the characteristic L-shaped molecular structure. tRNAs have two regions of fundamental functional importance: the anti-codon, which is responsible for specific mRNA codon recognition, and the 3' end, to which the tRNAs corresponding amino acid is attached (by aminoacyl-tRNA synthetases). tRNAs cope with the degeneracy of the genetic code in two manners: having more than one tRNA (with a specific anti-codon) for a particular amino acid; and 'wobble' base-pairing, i.e. permitting non-standard base-pairing at the 3rd anti-codon position. RNAcentral also lists the same sequence under 2 other names. The record is from RNAcentral. Lineage: Eukaryota; Fungi; Basidiomycota; Tremellomycetes; Tremellales; Cryptococcaceae.